CUGGGUUACAACUGCAUGCAGCUCUUAAGGACCCUCUCAAUGCACUUUUACAGGCAUGUUCAUCCAGGAUCCAUAACCCUGAUCCUGAUCCAAGACACUCCUCAGCUUCCAACCAGCCUCCUACCCUACUUCCUAGCAAUAACCGCCACUCAAGGUUUUGGAACUCAACUGAUUUCUUGUCAAACUGGUCAGCGGUUCUUGACAGAAGAAAGUCUCUGUUCUCCGCCUUGACUAUGUUGGCGCAUCCUUCAAAGGGCGCAGUCAUGUCUGCUACGGACAUCAGAAGAUGUUAAUGAUCCAGACAGCAGACACUGACCCUUCACCCUGUACCCUCCGAUGGAGCUUGCGCAUUGAUCUUCCGGACACGUUGGUGAGAGGAUGUACACGGGUGAAGAAUGCUGUCAGCGGCUGGCAGGGCGUUGUGUAUCCUUGCAGAAGGGAGCUCUGUGUAUCUCUGUUUGUGUUCCUGAGCAGGGCUCUCUGACCUAACUUUUUAAUAGAAUUUCUGCCAAGUUCAACUUGGGAGGGGUGAUUUACUAUUCUAAGCAUAAACGUUAGCCAGUCAUGGGGUGAAGCUACACUUUCAUGACAGGCGCCAAGAACAUGUUAAUAACAUGAAGCCUCUCUACGCGUCUCCACCCAUCACGGCCUCCAGGGAGCUGCACUUUGUAUCUGGAACCAAUUUCACAUUAAACAUCGCCUGGAAGUCUUACCUCUCAGAUUAGCCAGUUACUUUCUUUUUUUCUAACUACAUAAAUCCAUUAUUAUCCAAACUUAACAGCAAAAUGAAUUCUCCAGUGGUAUCUGAGGACUGUUAACUCCUAGAAAUAUAAUUCUGUUCCAGUCAAAAUUUAAGCCAAAUAAAGUUCACUGUGUUGACA
Molecule: long non-coding RNA, 881 nt
Filed under: Bos indicus x Bos taurus (hybrid cattle)
Lineage: Eukaryota; Metazoa; Chordata; Mammalia; Artiodactyla; Bovidae
Description: lncRNA (ENSBIXG00005001279.1)
Source: RNAcentral